This is a long non-coding RNA of Ictalurus punctatus (channel catfish), 8988 nucleotides long. NCBI's taxonomy places the organism in Eukaryota, Metazoa, Chordata, Actinopteri, Siluriformes, Ictaluridae. The record is from Ensembl.
AUUCAGAUGACUUCCAGCCGGGCUGUUCCGGGAACUAAACCGCGCCCCCUCCGCGCUACGUCUUCAGCUGACUGCGCUACGGCAGGAGGGACGAGCUUCGGAACAGCCAACCGACUCAGUGCCAUAAACACAGGCGCAUACAAGCUUGCUGGCUUUAAACCCCGCCUCUUCAUACAGUUUCAAAGCUCUGAUUGGAUAUCAUCCCACUCUCGCGCGGCAAUUCCUCAAAGACCUGUCAAUCAUGGUGGAGUUAGGACGUUACAGCUCCUGACAGACAGAGCGCUACAGACUACACGGCUGCUGCUGCUGAUGUAAAAGUUAGGAGAACUCCGGUGUCGUUUAUUUUAUUUUAUUCCAUUCCGUCCGUACGUAAUUAAACACACAUAUCGGGUUUGAACACGGGUGUUUUGACAGAAGUGGCAGCGGAGGAGUCGCAACACUUUAACGAGGUUUUUUUCCCCUUCUUCUUCUUCUUCUCUCCCUUCACAUUUUUUCAAGCCACAUCCAUAAAGGGUAAGUAGCGACACCACCGCAUUUAAGCCAGUCUGCUUAUUUAACUUUUAACAAUUCACUCUAUAAAGUGUGUAGAUACGAAAUAUUUACAUGUUUACAUCCUGAAAAGUGUUCAGUUGUGUUUAAAAUCGAGCUACGCCUAAUUAAAGACUAUACCGUUUAUAUAAACAUGCCCCAGUUGGACUAAUAUCAGUGUAGCCUAAACGCUAGUAACGAAAUGAGCAAAUAACAACAUUAUAAACAUGAUAAAAAUAACAUUUUACCAUGUACUUUACAAAUAGUGACCGCUUAAUAUACACACAGGAAUGUCUUCAAGAUAAACAUGUCUGUUUUGCCUUUAUUUAUUUGUUUGUUUGUUUUUAUUUAUUUAUUUAUUUAUUUAUUUUUCCAGCAUUAUGCAGUGCAGAAGAUGGACUAUAGGGAUUAGAUCUUGGGGCUUAAAAUAUAUAAAUAAUAAUGUAUAAUAUUAAAUAUAUUAUAUAUUGUGCAGGGAUCAAAUAUCUUAAUACUUUCACGUUAUCACAUGAUCCCAAAAGCUGCUAAUUGUUUUAGCUGAAAUAAUAAAGCACUUUUAUACACACACAAAACCCCCAAAACAAGCACGUGCCAUGUUGUACUACCGCAUCAAUUAUGCAGAUAUUUAUAAAUAUUUCAUAACCCGCUAUAAUCGAGCAGAAAUGCGCGGUCUUUUUUUCUUUUCUUGCCUUUCUCCCUUUUUUGGUGCGCGCGGUCACCAGGGGGUAGUCCCUCAUUAAAUACCCUGCCAUGACGUCACCUCUUCCAGUAUUUGGACUCAGGGAAUCCUCGCGCGCACGCGCGCUUGUUUACCGCCGGGUCCUCGUGAUUCUCUCCGUGGCCUCAGUUUUCGGUUUUGGUCACUCGAGCUACCUUCAGGGGGACUUUUACAUGGCUACUUUAGCGUGACCAGAGUAAGAGUUCAGGGGGAAUUUUUCUAUAUGUCGUUAUUUUAAAGAGUCAUGCUGCUCUCACGUGCUGCACUUUCUGUUUUCCACCUGUGAAAGUGUGUGUGUGUGUUUUAACGCAAAUGCACCAUUAGUGUUUUGUUAUUUCUAUCUAGCCAGAUAACCUGGCCUGUUUUGUUUAUCUUAAGAUUUCAAGGUGUUGUUAAAAUAUACACGAUGCAACUGAAAGUUGGAGAUUUAACCCGGUGUCUAGGGCUGUGCCGUACUGUAUAGUCCAAGAUAUCCCGAUACACUUCUUCCCCAUGAUAAGAAUUUGUCCUACAAUAUCGAUGAUCUAGUUGAUGACCUGUUUACAUGCAGCAACGUGGACACCUCGGACAUAGAACAGAACAAGCGUAGAGGAGGGCGGAGUUCCAACCCUUGACGGGGAAGGAAGAAGAAUUAAUGCCCCCCCAAAAAAAGGAGUUUCCUUUAAAUUUACAUUCAUGGCAUUUAGCAGACACCCUUAGCUAGAGUGACUUACAUUCAUCUCAUUUAUACAACUAAGCAGUUGAGGGUUAAGGGCCUUGCCCAAGGGCCUAACAGUGGUAGCUUGGUAGUGCUGGGGCUUGAACUCCUGACCUUCUUAUCAGUAACCCAGAGCCUUUAACCACUGAGCCACCAUUGCCCUUCCUCCCUAAUAUGGAAGUGUUUCGGAUACAGAUCAUCAGAUGAGAAUCAAACGUCUGUGAUUUAAAAGUGUGUCAAAAACCCGUCUUGACGGAGGGUUGAAACAUAACAAAUUUGUUCCACCACCUCAACUGUACACACUGAUCAGCAUAUGAGGAAAGCCAGAAGUUUAGAUAGUGUUUUCAUAUCGUUGUUUAUAUUGUUACUGCAAAAAAUACCAUGAAAUAUCGUGAUGUAGUUUUAAGUCGAUAUCGCCCAUCCCUAUGGGUGGACCACUGAUCAUGGGUGGACCAGUCGGGUUUCAUACCUGGGUUGCUUCAGCUCGGGGGGGAAAAAAUGGCGGACGAACUCUCAGCCAACUUCGUCUACAAAAGUAGCUCAUUAUCGUUGUUGUAGCUCUCAUAUGACUGCUUACGUUAGUGUUUUUCAUUUUAUUUGAUGUUUUUUCUAGUCUAACGACUUUAAGUGUUCCAUGAUUUAAAAAAAACUAUCCACUAGCUAGCCCAGAGGUUCCCAAACUUUUCCAAGGCAAGGCCCCCCAAAUGGCAUUAACAUUUGACUGAGGCCCCCUUUUGCAAGAUGUUUUUAAAACACAUUAAAAAUAUAGACUUCUGAAUAUAUCCCCCUUUUUUAUUAAUAAUUACAUCCUACAUCUUUACAUUACACUACAUUAGGAAUUGAUUGUGUGUGUGGCUGUCUGAGAGUGUGAAAGAGAAAACAUACUAGUGGGAAGCAUGGGCAAACCAAAUUGUUGAGGCCCCCUGGUGGCCCCCACUUUGAAAACCACUGAGCUAGCCUACGAUCCUGAACAAAUUUACCUGACAUAUAAUAUCAGAAAGACGUCGGUCCUUUCGGCUCUUGAUGAAUGCCUGUGGUGACGAUUUACAACGCGAGUGCGUAGGCACGUGUCCCAGUGCGUAGUGAGCGCCACGGUCCUUAAUCGUGUACACGAUACACUGAUUCACCAGCGAGGGAGCUGAUUGAGACGCACCUGUGCUACUGGGAAACCCACUGAAGCUUUAUGAUCAGGAUUUAGGCUUUAUGUUUAUUCCACCCCAAUCAGAAUGGUUUCUGAAGCUCCUACUUGUAAUUCAAACUCGAAAAGACGUUUUAGGUCGGAUAACGUAUUCAUCAUGUGUCUGGCGUUUGGGUACGGCAACUUGAAACUUCAGUACAGAGAUUAGUUUACAUAAUGAGGGUAAUUAUGACAGAACUGUAACACAACACAAUUAGAACAGAUCCGUAACGCACACACACAAGUUUAUGUAAGUGUUUUGAGCAUGUGCAUCCGUAAUGCUAUCUCUAUAUCUCUCUCUCUCUAUCACCAUUUCUUUUCCUCUUUUAUGUUGGCAUGGCAAACAACGGAGAAGUGUCGGAUUUUUUCAGUGUGUGUUUUUCAUUUCACGCGCGCCGCUGAUCCGGCAGUAUGAGGAAACGUUUACGGCAAAAGGGCGGCUCCGGGACACUUCCAUUUCCAAAGUUAGAAAUAUAGUUGCACUACUGGAUGCCCUUUGUUUAUUUAUUUAGCUCAGUUACUCUGUUACUUCUUAACAGAGACCGAUCCUUUUCGCCCCGUCACGGUAGGCCAUGACUCCGCCCACAUCCACAGGACACAAAAGCUCACCGAAUAGUUUGACGAGAAUGAAAAUGGUAUGUUAUGGCCUUCACGUUCAUCAGGUCUGGAUCCAGUUGAACAGUUAGGGGAGGUUUUAGAGCGAGGUGUUUGUUAGCGCUCCCCACCACCAUCCUCAAAACACCAGCUGAAGGAAAAUCUUUCGGAUAAUUGUGUAACACGGUUUCCAAAGCGUGUUUCAUCUUUACCGAGGUGCAUUGACGCUGAUCUGGUAGCUCAUGGUUGCUUAAUAAGGAACCAGAUCUAGAUUUGGUUUUGCUCAUUGUGUGUAUGAUUUUCUUGUCUUUAUGGCUUAAUGGCUUCAUUGGGAAAUGAUUAGAAAUUGAUUUAUAUAAAAUAUGUAUAAAGAAGUGCCUUUCUUCCUAGUAUCCAUGCAGCUCACCCGUGCUCCUGUCAUUAAAGCUGUAGCAGAAUAUUACGGGCGUUUAAUCAGGCAUCGCGCACCUCCUGGAGGCGACGUGAUCGCAUUAACUCUGUAAACCGUGAACGAGAAGACGAAACUCUCCAGAGUCAUUUCACAGCAUGCGUUCUAAAAAGUACAUCGUGUACUCAUCUCCUCCGCGCCGUAGUACAAGGCCAUGUCAGAAGACAUCGCACAUUCGUGACGCGCUAAUAAACCCUUCGCGCCUGUGAACUGAGACUUCAUCUGAUUCACGAAGUCUUAGAUUAGGUUUGUGUAAGUUAUUUCCUUUCCUCUAAUCUUUGGAAUGAAUAAAUAAUAAAUAAAUAAUUCACCAGCUUUCCCAGCAGCUCCUACGGUAUUUUGUAACUGCGGACUGAAUAAUAUUUCCAGAUCAUUUCCUCUCAUACACUGUAUGAGUUUCAAAAGUUUGUGGGACCCUGACAGUCACACUCGUACUAUUCGUACACACUCAUACUGGAUGUCCCUCCCUCCAGCUUGCUGUAUUAAUAACAUCCACUCUUAUGGGAAGGAUUUAUGCAAGAUUUUGGAGCGUGGCUGUGGGGAUUUGUGAUCAUUCAACAACUGAGGGCAGUGAUAUUUUUCAGGUGCAGUCGAAUUUCCAGUCCCAAAUGGUGUUCAGUGGGGUUGAGGUCAGGGUUCUGUACAGAACACUCAAGUUCUUCUAGUCCAGCCUUGGUGAACCAUGUCUUCAUGGAGCUUGCUUUGUGUCAUGCUGGAGCAGGUUUGGGAACACGUUCUGCUUGUUCUGUCAUAGAAAGACAUCUGAACGAUCGACAUUUCUUCUCAAAGAUCACUGUUGUACUCUUGACGAAACCCAGUGGUCGUGGUCUCUUCCAGGACGAGGGUUUCCAGGAUGACGUCUGCUGACGAGGAUGAAAAUGACUGUAAAUCAUACAGUACAGAACGAUGGGAUCUCAACCCGAUGGAGCUUUCAGAGUGAUUAAUGUUAACGCCGUUAUUCAAACACCAUUUGAGCGAAUAUCUUUCGAGAGCACCCUCCGUCCCUCAUCGCAGCCGGUGGUGUCCCGGUGUCCCUUUCUGAAACGCAUCACAUUGUUUUUCUUUUAGGCUGCGCUUGAUGAAUCAGCACUAAUGCUCUCGAUAUAAGAGGAACACGAUGAAUUAUCUAGCCAGUCGAGUUCAGAGGUUUUUUUUCUUUUUCUUUUUUUUUGGCGAACUGAAAAUGUAGACCUGGUUUUUCUCCCUGUGGUUUGAUUUCACGUAACCUCAAUCUUCGCCUCAAUCAGGAUGCCAUGCCGUGACUUCUCAAUAAUUUGGGGGAGGGGAGGGAAACAGCUCUAGGCCUCGUCUGUGAGUUAUAUAACAGCUCUUAUGGUUGCAGAUUCACAGGUAUUCUCAUGAAACAUAACAAAAGUUACAGUAAGGUUUUAGUGGUUUGGAUUUUUCUUUCUUUCAUAUGAAAUCCAGAAAAAACACCUUUCUUGCUCAGUGGGGAUUCUUCAGAACCAGCUCUAAUGAGGAAAGCUGAAGGUUUGAGUAGCAGGUGUUUGAGGUCGAGACUUAUUAGAAAACCGAUCGUAUGGAUAGUUAAACGACGAAAAUGAGAGUGAGCGAUAGUGAGAGUUUAUGAACCGGUCAUUACGGUUACUUAGGAUAUUUAAGAAAUGAAAGUAUGGUGGAGAUGUUCACGUUACACCACAGCUGUGCUGACUUUUGGAGUCCAGUUAGUCAGAAGGUGCUGAUUAACACACAUGAGAACAGGAAGUAACUUCUCAGAGAUUUUUCCAUAACGAUAAACUUCUUCUUUAAGACCUUUUUGGAAUUGCUGUAUCGUAUAAGGAAUAAAACGCUUCACACCUACCUGAUUGGGAUUUUUAUUCUUUAAUUAUAAAAAGCGACUGCUGUAAUAAUGUAACCUCUUAAGCCUCCAGGUCAGUAUUUAAACACCAGUGUGUGGAAAGUGUCACGUGUAAUGAUUUACGAAAUGACAAUUUUGUUAAAUAACGCAACCUGACGUACGAAGUUUCCCUAAUGGUGGUGGCUGCAAUAAUUACAGGACACUAUUCCGAAAGAAGCGCGAAUUGUACCGGCUUUUAUUCAUGUAGUAGGAGUAAUGGUUCCAUUGGGAACCAUUAACAAUUAAAUCAGAUUAUUAAAUUAUAUUUAAAUAAUUUGAUUAAAGUUUGCGUCGUGUUUUGUUUUUGUUUGUUUUGUUUUAAAAAAAAAUAUUUAAAUAUCUGCUAUUUGGUGUGGUGGGAUUCAAGUACGGUCGCAUUCAUCCGGAUAAGUUUGAAAACGCAUCUUUUUCUCUACAUCUUGGCGUUGCGUUCACACCGAGACGGAGUUUUUUGCCAAGCAAAAACGGAGCUUUUCGAAAACGCCAUUUUUGCAUUGUAGUGUGGACCGAGUAAGCAGUCACGUCACAUGACCCAUUCAGCUCAAAAGAAACAAGACGGUGGAGGACGUUGUAUUGCGGUUGUUGUGCCUGCUGUCCGUUUUGAUGGUGUUAAACAUUGAUGUCACUUUGUACAGCCUUCAGACUGCAUUUAUAAACAGACGCCUGACGGAAAUGACGUACGCCGACGCUUCUUCAGCGUUUUCAGAUCCGUCCGGAUUAACGUGCACGUAGUCUUGCUCAAAUUUCCCCUGUUACAUGUCGAGCCGUUCGUAUCCGUGUGAGCAUCUGUUGCUGGAUUAUGCAAAGGAGUUAAACGAUGAACGGAGCGGUAAAACCAGUUUGCAUUUCAGUGAGAAUGUUCCAUUGCACAACUAAGUGGCGGGAUUACCGUCGUAUGUACUAUUUGUAUACAAACGCAGAGAACUUUUUUUCAUUUCUUGCUGAUAGAUCUGAAAUGUUUAAGGUCUAAUAUCAUGGAUGAUCUGCUGGUGGACAAAUUGUACACUGCAGUGGAAGUUCCCCGCAUGCCUCCUUUGAACCCAUCAUAACCUCAAUAGAGACCUCGGUAAUACGAAAGGAAAGCUCCAGACUGUACAGGAAGUGACUAAAGAAAGCUCGGCCUGAAGCAUUUAAGGAAUCGAGCAGUUUAGAGAGAUGAGAGUUGGGCUUCUUGUGGGUUGUCGUGUUCCUCCAGAGCUCUGCUGCUCUGUUUCUGUGGAACAGUCUUAUGAAACUUCUCACCCUUUCAGGAAACCAAGAGUCCCAGUUAUCAGCUGUUAUUCUCACUAUCGCUGCGACGAAGCGUCGCUUUUGCCUUUUAGCGAAACGAAAUAAAUUGGACGUGCGAAGGUUUUUGUUUUGUUUUUGUCAGUUCCUCGUUUAAGGUUUUAAGAGUUCAUAUCAAAUGGGUUGAGCGUGAAAGACGAUCCUUCCCCAUUUUUCAGAUGCGAAAUAGUUCAAUGUUUGUGGACAGGGAAUUAAGUUCUGCUAAAAGCUUGGUGCCAAUUUUAUGGUUUGUAGAAAUACUGAUCAGAUAUACCUAAUAAAUGUUCCACUUUAUUAAUAUGCAUUAAUAUAUGAAUCACUCAGCAUUGAUCGAGUGAGUGAGUGAGUGAUUGAUUGAUUGUUUUCCAGUAACAGGUGUUCUCUCACAGCAAUUUGCAACCAACCAUUAAAACGUUUUAAACAUAAAGAAAAACAUAAACAUUAUGUUUUGUACAAAAACAAACGUUUUUAAAAAAAAAUCCAUUUACAAAUAUAUUUAACGUCGUGGAACGUCCGCGAAACAAGACGGUUCCUGUUAUCGCUAUUGUUAUAGCAGCUAUAACCCGUCAUUUCCUCACAUACUUCUUCUUUUCUUUUCACCCUCUUGAAGUUAAUAAGAUGCACAAAAAAAGCAUGUGACUCGUUCCCAAGAAACUGCAGGACACGACGUCCCCGAGACCUUUUGAGUAAUACUGGUUACAAAGCUCUGACGCUGGAGACUCCUUCUGUAGACAUUGCACCAGCAGAUAUACCCGAGAGCAUUAAUAUACUGUAAACCUAUGAUUUCCCCACUACUAACCGAGCUGUGAUCAUUUCUCGAACAUUAUUCAGCACCUUCUGACCAAUCAGAAUCGAGAAUUUGGUAUCACCACGGUGUAACGAUCAACAAAAUGGUACGGUAAAGGACCCGCUGUAAUAAACAGGCUUUUACUGCUAAAGUAGACUUUGAGUGGUUUUAUGGACUCUACAGAAGAGAAAGUAAGUGUGAGUGUGUGUGUAUGGGGGGGUAAAGAUGUAAUUGCAACUACAGAGUAGGAGGUGAGAGACAGGGAUGAUAUCAAAGUCAGUGUUUCGCCCAUGGUGUCUGUGACUGAAACUAAACUGUACCAGAGGUUAGAGUGAUUUGAGGCCAGUGCAGGGAAUAUGUGGGGUGUGGUAGUGAAUUGAAAUGGUUGUGUGUGUGUGUAAGAUGCUCAGCUCCUCUGAUGCAUGAACAUGUUUCUCCAGCUGCAUGUAGAUCGUAGGUGAUUGUUCUAGAUGAAGUGUUUGAGACAGGACUUUGAGUAUUACAUGUUUACAGGCAGGUGGUUUCAGUAGCUCAGUAGCACAAUCUCCGGUUCUCUUCACCGCUCUGCUUUGGUUUUGUGGUCACGUUCCGAUUUAUGAGGGUGGCAGCUGAAUCUGCUAAAUUGCUUCCAUCCCCAAUUGCCACACACUCGCACCUUAGGAACGUCUAACCCGUCCACCUCGUCUCUCUGAUCCGCUCUAGUCCACGCUGUUCUCACAAGGUCGGCAUAAAAAAAGUACAUUCCGUGUCACAGCCAGUUGAUUUUUAUCUCCUUCUCGACCUACAUCGAGUUACGCAACCGAUUGCGAAACAUAACGCUAGCUCACGUCUGAAACCUGACUCGGAGCACUUAAAAGGGUUGCCAGAUCAGAACAGUUCAGAAUCCCCCUCCAUUUUCUUCCAUAAAUAAUAAUA